GAAAAUGGAAGGCUGUGUUAGCUUACUAGCUGGCUAGCUGUGCGAACCCAUGAAUACAUGGAAAACUAAUCGAUAAGGUUCAAGCUUCAAAGAGUGACAAUUGGAAUGACUGCACAUCCUGAAAAUUAGACAUUUGCAGCCAUCUGUGACUUAUUUCUAGAGAGUUGUUAGCUGUAGAUGUCAAAAUAGACCCAAUGGAACAUAACACCGAUGGAUAUAAUGCAGAGGAAGAACAGAGCCAGUCAGAAGGGGCAGAGUCGAGUGUUAGGCCGACCAUGUCUCAGGUUAAAAAGUCAUGGGGCUUCAGGCGGACCACCAUUGCAAAAAGGGAGUUCUUGGAUGAAAUCGGAGACCUAACCAACAGUCCUCCGCUUGUACGCAGAGGCCGAAGCCGUCGAACCAACCAGACACCCCCGCCCACUCCAGAAACCCCCCCCACCCAGAGAGCUAAUAGUGCAACUAAGAGUGUUCUAGAUGAGCUUGAGUGGUCUGCCCCAUCAUCACCUGUGUCCGAGGAGAGCAAGCCGGCCUCCGAAGCUUCUGCAGGAGGGAGCCUUGACCCCAGCUUAUGGCAAGAUUUUGGGUCUGCCUUCCACACUGCCUUCUCACUGCUCGGCGGGAAUGAAGGCUUGUCAAUAGAAAUGUCAGAUGCUCUGGCAGUUCCCGACAUUUUGGAAGCCACUGAUGCCACCGAGGCUCCUCCUCCAGAGGUUAUAGAAGACACAGAGGUGCCUGAUAAUAUUGAAUCUGCUGAUGACAUGGAGAUCUUGCGACCUGUUACUCCUGACAAUGAGGCAGGAGGGGACAUCGAUGAUGUGGUGUUGAUUUCUAGUCAAGAAGAGGACAGUGAUGAAAUGACUCUGAUACAGAUUAAAGAGCAACUGAUAUCAAAAGGCAAGCAGGGAGACACGAGAGCUAGAGGGGGUAGAGGUGGAAGAGGCAAG
This 944-nucleotide long non-coding RNA is filed under the name Cyclopterus lumpus (lumpfish). RNAcentral's name for it is "lncRNA (ENSCLMG00005017252.1)". The record is from RNAcentral. Lineage: Eukaryota; Metazoa; Chordata; Actinopteri; Perciformes; Cyclopteridae.